AACCCACGGUGAGGGGACCUUCUCAAUAAAUCCUUAUACCUCUCCGAUGCAUCAUAUAAGGUCUCUAAUCCAUUUACAUGAAGGAAGAGAUAUCAUUCCUCAACUU
Gossypium arboreum is the source of this 106-nucleotide small nucleolar RNA. It matches the Rfam family "Plant small nucleolar RNA R71". Rfam says of the family: R71 is a member of the C/D box family of snoRNAs containing the C (UGAUGA) and D (CUGA) box motifs. Multiple nearly identical copies of this snoRNA have been identified in Arabidopsis, and it is thought to function as a 2'-O-ribose methylation guide for 18S ribosomal RNA. NCBI's taxonomy places the organism in Eukaryota, Viridiplantae, Streptophyta, Magnoliopsida, Malvales, Malvaceae. The record is from Rfam.